GUCCGGGUGGCAGAAGUGAAAUGUAGUUGGUUUAGGUCCAAUGGAUAGGUGAAUUUACCUUCCGGGUU
RNAcentral lists this transfer RNA (68 nucleotides) under Anadara pilula. RNAcentral's name for it is "tRNA-Leu". The record is from RNAcentral. Lineage: Eukaryota; Metazoa; Mollusca; Bivalvia; Arcoida; Arcidae.